Anas platyrhynchos (mallard) is the source of this 4792-nucleotide non-coding RNA. The record is from RefSeq and is a predicted model, not a curated record. Lineage: Eukaryota; Metazoa; Chordata; Aves; Anseriformes; Anatidae.
ACGCAUCUUUCAAGGACUCACACAUUUCUCCUCCCAGCCAGGACUCCUGCAGGUCUUUGCUCUCACUGAUAACUUUAAUUUUAACACACACAAGCUCGAGGGAGGUGUUCAGCGAUGCUUAAGCAACGCAGCUUUUCUCCCUCCUCCUCCUUCUUUUCUCCUUCCCCCUCCACGUUUCCAAGCUGGCUCCACUUUGGUGGAUUUUCAUGGGAACUGCAAGAGGAGACAUCUGCCAGACGUCAAAUCACUGCUCCCAGGAGUGGGGGCAUGGCAGCUUUAAAGGCCAACGGUCACCGUGCUUUUAUUUUUCUUUUUUUUUUCCUUCUUUAUUUUCCUUUUUAAUCGUUGGAGCUGUCUCUGUUCUCAGCCUCGUUCUCCAAAGCAGCUGAGCCGUUUUCACUGGAGCCUUCCCCAAAAGCGCAACUCCUGGCUGACAAUUAGGGGACAACAAAACAAAAGCAAAUGAAAACAUUUUUUUUUCCUCUCUUUUCCUCUCCUUACCCACCUUUACCUGCAGUUUUUGUUUAGUUUCAUUAUCCUAUUUAGGCCCUGUAGCCCUUUUGGAAGAAAACCUCACCAUUUUACCCAUCCAUAGGAGUUCCGCAGCACCCAAACACCUCUUUGCAAACCAAAACAUCCAUUUUCGUCGUGAAGGUACCAGUUUUACACAAGGCACCCUAACAGGCAUGUUUUAAGCCAAAUUCUCUUCAAACAUCCUGCAUCACAGCAGGGCAUCAGAGCAAGAAGAUAAAACGCUUGUUGUGACACGCAGCAUUUCCAUAAUCAGGGCUUUGCAUCAUCCACGAGCUCUUUUUUUUCUUUGGAAAGUCUCCAGGAGCCCCUGGAAAAAAUCCCAGACACCUUGCUGCCUCCCAUCACCUGCUGCCUUUAUCUACGCCCCAAAUCCAAGCUGCACAAAAUCCCAUAUUGCCCAAAAUCCCAUACUGCACGAAAUCCCACACUGCACAACCCUGUGGCACCCUGACCAGGGACCAGCUGGUAAAUUCUCCGGGUGUUUAUGGUGGAGCACGUGUGCUUCUGUGCGGGUACACUCGAUUUCCAACAUUAUAGGGGAUUUUUAUAAGGGAUUUCUCGGAGUGCAUCCCAUUUUCAGGCAAAACCAGCCAGCAACUUUACGGCCACUGAGCUACCUGGGCACAGGGAGAGCUCCAAAUUCUUUGCUAUCAACACAUUUCCCAUAUUAAUCUUCCCCAAAUGAUCCAUAGAGGAAAUUUAUGGGUGAUGCUCUAUUAAAAGCCCCGCUAACUCUUGCUCUAAACCUAUAAAAAAAGUACCUACGCCUUGAGAGAUUGUACACGGGGAAGGACAAUCUGUUUUCGUCUGUGUUUGAGAGCACGUUUUUGCAAAUUUAAACUAAAAUAGCUCCCAGAUGGAAGCCGUAUCAUUCCAAACUCAACCUUAAAAACACUUCUUUUUAAAAAAAAUAUAUAUUUAAAAUGCAAAGCUUCGGGAAAUUUGGCCCCACGGAAAGGCUGGCACUUCGCGUCCUCGGAGGCGCGGCGUAACGAGCCUCGGGAUUUUGUUUUUGGGUGAAAGAUUGGAAUAAUAGGGCAAAGUUAGCGGCAGCGAAGUUUGCCCUCUUGCUACAAUGCGUGCAGCAGACUGUGGAAAAUGUCUUUACAAAGCUCCAGGCAUCCACAGAAGCAGCCGGAGUGGGGAGCGGAUUCCCUCACCCUCCAUCCACUGACUGUAAGCAGCUUUCUUCUGCGGAUCAGUAAAAUAUGUGAUAUUUAUGAUUUAAAGAGCCCCGUGUAGAUGUAACACGGCUUUAAUGCUCUUCCAAGUCACAGCUUUUUCCCGUCUAAAGCUUGAAUUUAGCUUCACAUUUGCAUCAGCGCUGCGUAAUGCAGACGACGGCGCGGCUCAGCCCUUCCUGCUUGUUCUGCUGCAGGAGAGGGAACAAAAAAUGAGGCUUUUUCCCAAGAAAACUGACAUGGAAAUGUAGAGAAUGGGAGGAGAUAGGGGAGACGAAAGCAGGAUCUUUGCUUAUUUCGGACAGGGCAGGAGUGCAGUCAGCACCUGGCUUUUUUUGGCUUCUUCCAGGUGUUGGAGGGGUUUUAUGUAUGCAGCAGGUGGGAUGGAUAAAGGUGGAAAUGGUUUGACCCGCAGGAUCCCAGGGAUGGAAAGGUCAGCCCCUCAAAGCCCCCAGCAGAGUCAGAAAGCAUCACCAAAGCUCUCACUCUGCCUGCUGGAGGAGAAAAACCUGGCCGUGACGGAGAGAGAGGCAGGAGGGGAAGAGAAAAGGUUUGGUUGUACGAGGAAUGCAAAACCAGGGGGGGAAAUUGGGCUGUCAACACGAGCCAGGCCCACCUGGCUGGCAGAAGUUCUCCCUUUCCUAAAAACUUCAGGCAAGAGUCAGGAGCAGAAACCUUAUUCCACACUUGGUCCCUCCUAAAAUUCAUUCUCUGCAGGGCACUGAGCAAGAUCUGGGCACUCCUGGCACAGCUUGGCCAGAAAGUGCAGCUUUCAGCAUCAAUUUCUGCUAGCUAGAAAGCCCCCAGAAUAAUGAGAGAUAUUUAAUGUGGCGAUUUCAGAGCUGAUUAAUAACCCUGUGGCACUUUCAGAUAGGUAAUCUCAGAACGAUCGAGAUAAAGGCGAUGGGGCUGGAGCAUACGAUAAAGUCGCUGAACACUGACCCCAGAAAGGGAGCUGGGAAAGAUUUCCCCAGAAAUCUGCCCCGUUUUUGCACCUCCAAACACACACGCGGAGGAUCAGAGGUAUUUAAUAUCUGUAUUUGAGAGCAGCAGAGCUUUUUUAUUAAGGGCACAGAGCAGAACCGAGUCCUGGGCACUGGAGAUGGUUUAGUGGAGGUGCUGAGGUGGUGACCAGUAAAAGAGGAAAGGAAUAAGUGGAGUCCUGGGUGAGAAGGAGCACCUUCUCCUCUAACCAGGUGAUAGAGAUCAGGUGAUUAUGAUUAUUAGGUGAUAUGAUAGAGAAUUAUCUGUACCCGAGGCAGGGAUCCACCUCUGGUGGGAAAUACCUGCAGCCACACGCAGUUGGCUCCGGGCUCUGCCCUCUCCUACAGGCAGCCAGAGAGGCUGGGAAGGAUCCUCACACACAUUUGGGACGCUUCAAACUGAUUUUCUAACAUAACGGCAAGAAAAAAGGUCACAGGUUAAAAGAAAAAGUCAUUUAGGACAGCGAGUUGUGGGGAAAGGGGGAAUUUAGGACUUCCCCAGCCAUAAUUUUGGUCAAAUUUCUCUGCGGUUCAAACCUGUUCAGCACAGCCUUGAUGUUUCCAGCCGCUCACGGAGAUACAAGCAGCCCCACCAAGCCUGCUGGGCCACGGGAAGGGGAACUGGGGACGGCGAAGCUCAGGCUGCCAGCGUGAGAACUGGGCUGAUAAAGCCACGCUGCAGUUAACGAGGAUUUCCUGCCUCUGAAGCUGCAGAAACAGGGGUGGGUUUUUUCUUAGAAAUUAACUCAAAAACAGCGGUAUGGUGAGCGCAAGUCGCGGGAGAAGGAAGCGCAAACCAAACAGGAAAAAAAUGGGGUGAGAGCACGGCACACAGCUUCUGCCUUGGGUCUGAUCCUGCCUCCAGCCCCAAAUUGGGAUGCCUCAGAGGCUCAUCCCAUCACCCAGCAGUUGAACGCAGCCCCUGUGCUGAAAGCUUCUUGUUCCCGACGCUGGCCCCAAACCCAAAACGCUGCACAGGGACCCACAACAGCCUCAAAACCAAACCAGCCCGAGCAGAAGCCAGCAGUCAUUAAAAGCUCAAAACCCUUAACCCAGACGCUCGCGGGGUCUAAAAAAUAUAAAAAAAUAUCAAGUUUUUUAUGCUCUAAAGCUUCUGCUCCAUCAUUUCAAACCGCAGUGAAACCUAAGCCGUGAUUCUGAAGACAGCGAGGACCGAGGAGGUGUUUCAGUGAGCAUCACAUCGAUAAACUGAUGACAAUAAGUUUGAUUUCAAGCCAACGAGGUCACGCCAGGUACCACCCGCUGGCAUCCAGUUUUAAGAGAAGUUUUGCUGCUUGCUUGGCUGCAGAUUGCCUGGGAAACGUGCUGGAGAUUUCCCCUAUGCAAGACGAGAGAUCUUCCUUACUACUGCCUCAGCGCACAACCAGGAGCACAAUUACGACAACCUGCAGAUGCUGGGAAGCAAUAAUUAAGUGAAUUAAGGCAAGGAAGAGCUAAACCAUUUGCCCAGGGCCACCGAAGGCAGUGACAGAGGAAUUAGGGGUGUUUAGGAGCCUCCUGCUCACAGCCUGGUCCCGAAGCCCUAACACAACCCCCACGGGACCACCUCCAAUCACCCUGGAGAUGGGCUAACUAAUUAACAGGGAGCCACGGGAUGUAAGCGAGCAGUUGGGUGUUUAAAUUAAUUACUUCUGCCUCAAAAGCAUCCCAAAAUUAGAGCUUCUCCUUGCAGCAUGCCCCUACAACAGCUCGUUACCUGCACCCAGCCCCCGGGGCGGCUCUCCGUAGGAGAUUUCCUUGGGAGAGGUUUCCGGCAGCACAGCGCGUUUUCGAUAUUAGGAUGUAAUAAAAAAAAAAAAAAAGAAAGAAGGAAAUUCGUGAAUUGGCUGCAGCAAUUUGAGAGAUUUGUGGCCAUAGCAACGUUACUACGAGCCGUGCUGCAGGGAGCAGCAGCCGCUUGGCUCCUCUUGUUCCCUACUCUCUGCACACCCCACGAGGGUCUGGUGAACCUCUCGCGACGCAUCCGUUUGGUGCCCAGCCGAGGACCUAACAGGGCUCUGAGCUCCCCUCGGGCCCGCAGGCACUCUGAGAAAGAGAAAAAAAGAAAUCAAAACACCGAGAAACGAAGCCACG